Long non-coding RNA from Ictalurus punctatus (channel catfish), 1733 nucleotides. NCBI's taxonomy places the organism in Eukaryota, Metazoa, Chordata, Actinopteri, Siluriformes, Ictaluridae. The record is from Ensembl.
GCUGACUGGUCACGUGACUCUUUUGUUUUCGUUCACUUCCCGCUUGGACACUGACUUAAGUCUUUGAUUUGCCCCAGGUGUUAAUGUUUUAGUUUAAUUAGGUUUGUUAGUUAAACCCCCCGUGUGACUGCGCACAUCGCGCAGUAUUACAGUUGGUUAGUUCGUCAAGUGAGGGAAGUAUCCGGAUAUAUGCUAAUGUGUAGCAUGCUAGCGGUCGUAGCUAGGGGACCAGAGUGAGUAUAGUCCGUAGAGACCGCGCUCCCUGUGUUUGCUUAUCUGUUUGUUUGUUUGUUUGUUUGUUUGUUUGUUUGUUUGUUUGUUUAAGUAAUAAAGACGGUGACCUGCACCUGCAUCCGCCUCCAGUCUCGCCCCGUAACAGAAUACUGUGCCCAAAAUGCGGAAGCAGCAGGUCGCCAUGAGCGCCGCCGAAGAGGCCAGUAUUUGGGCGCUUCUCCGUUCGUCCCUGGAGUUGAGCAAACAGCUCGCGGAGGACAUUUCUCAGUGCAAAGCCAAGCUGCGCGCCGCGUCGUCCCUCGCGCCAUAUACCCCGUCCCCGCCGCCAAGGAGCGACCCCUUGCAACAAAGUAGCCUGAGCAUCUGGGGUUUUCCACUGCAGGGGAGAUGCACCUUGCUGCGCAGUCCAGAGGUGAAGGCUGGCCCAGAAAUUUUUUUGGGGGGGGGCAAUGAGGACAGCAGAGCUCCAGCCUGAGGCCUACGGGGAGGUCUCAGCUGUGGAGUUCUCACCUGAGGUCAACAUGGCGACCUCAGAGGGACAGGCUGAGGAGGCUGUCCCGCUAUCCUGCACGGCUGAGGAAGCUGUCCUGCUGUCCAGCCCAGCUGAGGAGGCCAUCCUGCUGCCCAAUCCAGUUGAGCAGGCCGUCCCGCAACCCUGCAUGGCCGAGGAAGCAGUCCUGCUGCCCAGUCUAGCUGAGGAGGCCGCCCCGCUGCCCCGCCCGGCCGAGGAGGCCGCCCCGCUGCCCCGCCCGGCCGAGGAGGCCGCCCCGCUGCCCCGCCCGGCCGAGGAGGCCGCCCGGCUGCCCCGCCCGGCCGAGGAGGCCGCCCGGCCCUCCAGUGCCGCCGAGGGUGGCACCCAGAGUUCCAGAGCUGCCAGGGAUGGCGCCCAGCAUCCCAGGGGCGGUGUCCUGCGUCCCAGUGCCGCCAGGGGCGGUGCUCUGGCUUUCAACCCCGGUGGGGAUGCUGCUCUGCUCCUCUGCUGCCCGACGGAGGCUGCUUCGCUUUCUGUCGCAGUGAAAGACAGUUCGCACAGGGGCCCGGGACCCCCGUUGGAGGGGGGUUCUUGGUGCUCCGGGAGGAGCACCCUUUGGAGGGGGGUUCUGUUACACCACGGCCAGCAGAGGGCACUGCGGUAUGGCCGCUGACUGGUCACGUGACUCUUUUGUUUUCGUUCACUUCCCGCUUGGACACUGACUUAAGUCUUUGAUUUGCCCCAGGUGUUAAUGUUUUAGUUUAAUUAGGUUUGUUAGUUAAACCCCCCGUGUGACUGCGCACAUCGCGCAGUAUUACAGUUGGUUAGUUCGUCAAGUGAGGGAAGUAUCCGGAUAUAUGCUAAUGUGUAGCAUGCUAGCGGUCGUAGCUAGGGGAAUAGAGUGAGUAUAGUCCGUAGAGACCGCGCUCCCUGUGUUUGCUUAUCUGUUUGUUUGUUUGUUUGUUUGUUUGUUUGUUUGUUUGUUUGAGUAAUAAAGACGGUGACCUGCACCUGCAUCCGCCUCCAG